GAUGAACGCUAGCUACAGGCUUAACACAUGCAAGUCGAGGGGCAGCACAGUGUAGCAAUACAUGGGUGGCGACCGGCGCACGGGUGCGUAACGCGUAUCCAACCUUCCCGUUACUCUUGGAUAGCCUUCCGAAAGGGAGAUUAAUACAAGAUGGUAUUCAAAUUCCGCAUGUUAUUUGAAUUAAAGAUUAAUCGGUAACGGAUGGGGAUGCGUGACAUUAGAUAGUAGGCGGGGUAACGGCCCACCUAGUCUACGAUGUCUAGGGGUUCUGAGAGGAAGGUCCCCCACACUGGAACUGAGACACGGUCCAGACUCCUACGGGAGGCAGCAGUGAGGAAUAUUGGUCAAUGGUCGGAAGACUGAACCAGCCAAGUAGCGUGAAGGAUGAAGGUUCUAUGGAUUGUAAACUUCUUUUAUACGGGAAUAAAACCUCCCACGUGUGGGGGCUUGUAUGUACCGUAUGAAUAAGCAUCGGCUAACUCCGUG
RNAcentral lists this ribosomal RNA (486 nucleotides) under uncultured bacterium. RNAcentral's name for it is "bacterial SSU rRNA". It matches the Rfam family "Bacterial small subunit ribosomal RNA", at positions 28 to 507 of the family's 1533-position model. The record is from RNAcentral.